ACCGGGGCAGAUACCUGCACAUGUAAGGCAAGACACCCUUGGGUCGUACCCAAAUGAUGAGCAAAAUAUGAAGACACAUAGGAAUAGGUAGAACUGGGAUCAAAUAAGACGAAGGCAUCUCUGUGGCAGACUGAAAUAAUACCAGUGAUAACAGCAUUGGAUGCAAGGGCAUCUGUCAUGCCCAGGAUAGCAUAAAAUCUAGCCUGGCCACCGUCGCCUGAUCGGUCUCCGCCCCUAGGGCGACCCCUGACUGGCUGGCCUCCGCCCCUCUUUGACUGGGUUGGUGCUAAAGAAAUUGGAGCAGAAGACAAGGGCUGAUCCCUCUGCUAAUAUUGGCUACCACGACGUCGAGGACACUGCCUCCUCAUAUGGUCAUACUCGCCACACUGGAAGAAAAUACCAGAUGCUGGAAAAGGGGACUGAUGGGAACCCUUCGCGCCAGAAUGACUAGCCGAUGCGCCAUGCGCAGAAUAACCCUGAGCUAAAAGGGCAUGUGAAGAGAUAUGAGCCGGGAG
RNAcentral lists this long non-coding RNA (515 nucleotides) under Nicotiana benthamiana. RNAcentral describes it as "long non-coding RNA (NBEN_LNC040031)". The record is from RNAcentral. Lineage: Eukaryota; Viridiplantae; Streptophyta; Magnoliopsida; Solanales; Solanaceae.